GAGUUUGAUCCUGGCUCAGAUUGAACGCUGGCGGCAGGCCUAACACAUGCAAGUCGAGCGGUAGAGAGAAGCUUGCUUCUCUUGAGAGCGGCGGACGGGUGAGUAAUGCCUAGGAAUCUGCCUGGUAGUGGGGGAUAACGCUCGGAAACGGACGCUAAUACCGCAUACGUCCUACGGGAGAAAGCAGGGGACCUUCGGGCCUUGCGCUAUCAGAUGAGCCUAGGUCGGAUUAGCUAGUUGGUGAGGUAAUGGCUCACCAAGGCGACGAUCCGUAACUGGUCUGAGAGGAUGAUCAGUCACACUGGAACUGAGACACGGUCCAGACUCCUACGGGAGGCAGCAGUGGGGAAUAUUGGACAAUGGGCGAAAGCCUGAUCCAGCCAUGCCGCGUGUGUGAAGAAGGUCUUCGGAUUGUAAAGCACUUUAAGUUGGGAGGAAGGGCAGUAAAUUAAUACUUUGCUGUUUUGACGUUACCGACAGAAUAAGCACCGGCUAACUCUGUGCCAGCCGCCG
This 513-nucleotide ribosomal RNA is filed under the name uncultured bacterium. RNAcentral describes it as "bacterial SSU rRNA". It matches the Rfam family "Bacterial small subunit ribosomal RNA", at positions 9 to 517 of the family's 1533-position model. The record is from RNAcentral.